Molecule: long non-coding RNA, 2475 nt
Organism: Esox lucius (northern pike)
Lineage: Eukaryota; Metazoa; Chordata; Actinopteri; Esociformes; Esocidae
Exons: 3
Source: RefSeq, a predicted model, not a curated record
UUAUCGUGAUAGCACUAAAGUGGAUUGAUGUAGAUUCCCCAGUUUGGAAAUGGACUGAUGAUUGUUGAUUGCUAUAACUAGACAUUAGUUUCACGAGUUAAUAUGCUUCUGCAUAUUUUUUACUUUAAAAACGUCAGGAAACGCCUCUAUCGGUCCGUGAAUGAAGUGGCCAAUCAUUAUUCUACCCUAAACACGCAAAAUUAUCAUAAUUUUUUGACUUAACCUGUUCGUUAUCCGUUUUAGGUUAGGGAAGCACUGACAUAUUUCCGCAUGUCCUUCCCCGUUCUUCACUCGGAAAACGGAAUACGAGCAUAGUAAACGUAGGCGGGGAAAUGGGAGGUGCAGUCGAACGGGGUGCGUUCAUUUAUGUUUCAUGCAGGGCAGCACUUUAUCUUGCAAAGUUAUCCUCUCCCUGAGCUCGAAUUUCUGAAGAGCCAACGUAUGGACAGAUUCCUAGCAGCAUUGCUAGUUAUACGAUGUACAAUCACCAUGACUUUGACAGCUGUACCAUGCUCCCCUUCCCAGCAAGGACAAAUGGAGACCUAAAACACAGACAACCUCACUAGUUCAAGGCCUGUAUUGCUUUGGUUGAUGUGGUGACAUAAUCCACUGGCCCCUUAAACAGGCUGGCAGAGGACAGCUGCAGGUCUAGACAAGCCAUGGGAGAGGGCCUCAAGUCAAGGUCAAGGAUACUUUAUUGUCCCCGAGGGGCAAUUAUUUGUACAGCCAGCAGAAAAAAACACAAAAACACAACACACAUACACCAUAGUGUAGAAGCACACAAUCUCUAAGCCUCUAAAACACACUAUUUAGAAAAAAAUAAAAAACAUCUUAAAACAGUUCUGACAAUUUGUUUAAAAUCGAGAUAGAAGUCGGGAUAAGAGAGUUUCUAAAUCUAUUUGACCUGCAUCUGGGCAUGGAGUACCUACGGCCUGAGGGAAGUAGCUUAAACUGGCAGCACAAAGGAUGACUAGGGUCAGCUGCAAUAGCUUGGGCCUUCUUCGCUACUCGGUUGGAAUAAGUGUGAGAAAGGGGGGAGAAGUUAAUGCCUGCAAUUUUUCUACACGUCCUCACAAUACUCUCUAGUUGUUUUUUGUGGACAAGGAACCAAACCAGCAGAUAAAACAAAAGGUUAAGACAGACUCGAUAAAACAAGAGUAAAACAUUCUCAUCAAAGUAUGGUCAAUGUUAAAAUUCCUCAAUCUAGGAUAGAAAUGCAUACGCUGCUGGGCUUUGGCGCAAACAGCAUCAGUGUGUGACUCAAAGCAUAGCUUGCUGUCAAUUAUUGUGCCAAGGUACUUGUAAUCUUUAACUAUCUCAAUCGGUUUACCAUCAAUGAUAGUGAGGGGUAGAGGGGGUCUCUGUUUCCUAAAAUCAAUAAUUAAUUAUUUUGUUUUAGAGACAUUAAUGUUUAAAAAGGAACGCUUGCACCAAUCGUUAAAAUCGUUCACAAUGCUAGAGAUCACCCUAUAAAUGGCAGGUGCUUUGAGAAUCAUGUGAAGCCAGUAUGUGUCAGUCAUACUAUACAUGCUAAUCUAGCACUAGUACACUUGCCAAAUAUGCACUAUAUUUACAUAACAUGUUAGUCAUUUAACAGAUGCUCUUAUUAUGAACGACUUCUAGGAUCAGUUGAGGCAAGUAACCUUUUGCUAACUGACCCCACAUGUUAACCACUACGAUGUCUAGCAAUAUACUGCCAUCUAUACAAUGACUUCAGCAAUGUCUUUGAUAUAUUUCAGUCUACCUUCCCUUCCUAGCUCCAGAUGACCCAUGUUAUGCUGUGGGAGUCCCAUCCCAUACCCUCCUUCUUCACUGCCAGAACACACCUUAAACACCUCCUGGGACAGGUUGGAGCUGACCAAUAUUUGCAGAUUGGGGACAAGUGGAGCUGAUUGGGUCGUUGACAGGUUUCACCUGGGACCAACUAGAAGGUUUACGUUCCUGGUGCCCAGUCCUGGCUCUCUCUCCCCCCACAAGGACUAUUUUGUGAUUUGGUUGAUUGUAUUUUGAUUAGGUUCAUGCCUCAACAAAUUUUACACUCAUCCAGGCUUCUCCACUCAUAUGUCAUCUUUCACACUUCACAGGUCUGUGUUCCUUUGUAAUUUUACACUUAGUUUUUGAAUAUCCUUUAAUGCCAACGUGAGGACUUCCUUGCUUGUCACCAUCUGAGAGCCGGGUCGUGACAAUAUAACCUUCAACAUGCAUCCAAUCCAUUUUCCUUUUAAUGAAGUGAUCACUGAUUAGGAUUGGAUUUAGAGUUUGUGUCGAUAAUGUUAAUUAGUUGAACAUAUGCAGAUUUACUGGUUAUCUAAGUAUACGUUUAUUUGACUAGUUAUUAUUGGUUAGAACAGAGGUGUCAAACCGGUUCCACGGAGUGCUGAGUGUCUGCAAGUUUUCAUUCUCACCUUGUACUUGAUUGAUUAAUUAUGUCACUAAUUGGUUCAUUUCUACCCUCACCUGGUUGUUACCCUCACA